This 253-nucleotide ribosomal RNA is filed under the name uncultured bacterium. Its description in RNAcentral is "partial 16S ribosomal RNA". It matches the Rfam family "Bacterial small subunit ribosomal RNA", at positions 524 to 776 of the family's 1533-position model. The record is from RNAcentral.
UACGUAGGGUCCGAGCGUUGUCCGGAAUUAUUGGGCGUAAAGGGCUCGUAGGCGGUCUGUUGCGUCGGGAGUGAAAACUCAGGGCUUAACCCUGAGCCUGCUUCCGAUACGGGCAGACUAGAGGUAUGCAGGGGAGAACGGAAUUCCUGGUGUAGCGGUGAAAUGCGCAGAUAUCAGGAGGAACACCGGUGGCGAAGGCGGUUCUCUGGGCAUUACCUGAUGCUGAGGAGCGAAAGUGUGGGGAGCGAACAGG